Molecule: ribosomal RNA, 253 nt
Filed under: uncultured bacterium
Lineage: Bacteria
Description: partial 16S ribosomal RNA
Rfam family: Bacterial small subunit ribosomal RNA
Source: RNAcentral
UACGAAGGGGGCAAGCGUUGUUCGGAUUUACUGGGCGUAAAGCGUACGUAGGCGGAUGAUUAAGUCAGUGGUGAAAGCCCGGAGCUCAACUCCGGAACUGCCAUUGAAACUGUUUAGCUUGAGGAUGAGAGAGGUGAGUGGAAUUCCCAGUGUAGAGGUGAAAUUCGUAGAUAUUGGGAAGAACACCGGUGGCGAAGGCGGCUCACUGGCUCGUAUCUGACGCUCAGGCGCGACAGCGUGGGGAUCAAACAGG